GACGAACGCUGGCGGCGUGCUUAACACAUGCAAGUCGAACGGUGAAGCGCCUUCCUUUUUGGUGGGUGUGGAUGAGUGGCGAACGGGUGAGUAACACGUGAGUAACCUGCCCCCUUCUUCUGGAUAACCGCAUGAAAGUGUGGCUAAUACGGGAUAUUCUGGGUCUGUCGCAUGAUGGGUCUGGGAAAGAUAUUGUUUCGGUGGGGGAUGGGCUCGCGGCCUAUCAGCUUGUUGGUGGGGUGAUGGCCUACCAAGGCGGUGACGGGUAGCCGGCCUGAGAGGGUGGACGGUCACACUGGGACUGAGACACGGCCCAGACUCCUACGGGAGGCAGCAGUGGGGAAUAUUGCACAAUGGGCGGAAGGCUGAUGCAGCGACGCCGCGUGAGGGAUGGAGGCCUUCGGGUUGUGAACCUCUUUCGCCAGUGAAGCAGGCCUGCCUCGUUUGUGGGUGGGUUGACGGUAGCUGGAUAAGAAGCGCCGGCUAACUACGUG
This 494-nucleotide ribosomal RNA is filed under the name uncultured bacterium. Its description in RNAcentral is "partial 16S ribosomal RNA". It matches the Rfam family "Bacterial small subunit ribosomal RNA", at positions 28 to 507 of the family's 1533-position model. The record is from RNAcentral.